Molecule: ribosomal RNA, 1277 nt
Filed under: Nocardiopsis lucentensis
Lineage: Bacteria; Bacillati; Actinomycetota; Actinomycetes; Streptosporangiales; Nocardiopsidaceae
Description: bacterial SSU rRNA
Rfam family: Bacterial small subunit ribosomal RNA
Source: RNAcentral
AGCGGCGGCCUUACCAUGCAAGUCGAGCGGUAAGGCCCUUCGGGGUACACGAGCGGCGAACGGGUGAGUAACACGUGAGCAACCUGCCCCUGACUCCGGGAUAAGCGGUGGAAACGCCGUCUAAUACCGGAUACGACCCCCCACCUCAUGGUGGAGGGUGGAAAGUUUUUCGGUCAGGGAUGGGCUCGCGGCCUAUCAGCUUGUUGGUGGGGUAACGGCCUACCAAGGCGAUUACGGGUAGCCGGCCUGAGAGGGCGACCGGCCACACUGGGACUGAGACACGGCCCAGACUCCUGCGGGAGGCAGCAGUGGGGAAUAUUGCGCAAUGGGCGAAAGCCUGACGCAGCGACGCCGCGUGGGGGAUGACGGCCUUCGGGUUGUAAACCUCUUUUACCACCAACGCAGGCUCCGGGUUCUCCCGGGGUUGACGGUAGGUGGGGAAUAAGGACCGGCUAACUACGUGCCAGCAGCCGCGGUAAUACGUAGGGUCCGAGCGUUGUCCGGAAUUAUUGGGCGUAAAGAGCUCGUAGGCGGCGUGUCGCGUCUGCUGUGAAAGACCGGGGCUUAACUCCGGUUCUGCAGUGGAUACGGGCAUGCUAGAGGUAGGUAGGGGAGACUGGAAUUCCUGGUGUAGCGGUGAAAUGCGCAGAUAUCAGGAGGAACACCGGUGGCGAAGGCGGGUCUCUGGGCCUUACCUGACGCUGAGGAGCGAAAGCAUGGGGAGCGAACAGGAUUAGAUACCCUGGUAGUCCAUGCCGUAAACGUUGGGCGCUAGGUGUGGGGACUUUCCACGGUUUCCGCGCCGUAGCUAACGCAUUAAGCGCCCCGCCUGGGGAGUACGGCCGCAAGGCUAAAACUCAAAGGAAUUGACGGGGGCCCGCACAAGCGGCGGAGCAUGUUGCUUAAUUCGACGCAACGCGAAGAACCUUACCAAGGUUUGACAUCACCCGUGGACCUGCAGAGAUGUGGGGUCAUUUAGUUGGUGGGUGACAGGUGGUGCAUGGCUGUCGUCAGCUCGUGUCGUGAGAUGUUGGGUUAGUCCCGCAACGAGCGCAACCCUUGUUCCAUGUUGCCAGCACGUAAUGGNGGGGACUCAUGGGAAAACUGCCGGGGUCAACUCGGAAGAAGNUGGGGACGACGUNAAGUCAUCAUGCCCCUUUUNCUUGGGCUGCAACAUGCUNNAUGGCCGGUCAAGGGCGUGCAAACCCGGAGGGGGAACGAAUCCCUAAAAGCCGGUUCAGUUCGGAUUGGGGGCCUUAANNCGACCCCUGAAGGGG